UUUGCAUAAUAAGGUUACGUCAUAUCUUCAUCGCAUGGUUGAAAUAUUAGUAACAAGGGUAUUGCCCCAUCUCCCAAUGGCAUUAAACCAAUUGCUUGUGGAUAGUGAGGUAUGAUUUCAUCCAUCCCAGUUACUUUUUUCUUUCUAUUUUAAGAAUGGUAGG
Molecule: long non-coding RNA, 163 nt
Organism: Dendrobium catenatum
Lineage: Eukaryota; Viridiplantae; Streptophyta; Magnoliopsida; Asparagales; Orchidaceae
Exons: 3
Source: RefSeq, a predicted model, not a curated record